Molecule: long non-coding RNA, 241 nt
Filed under: Homo sapiens (human)
Lineage: Eukaryota; Metazoa; Chordata; Mammalia; Primates; Hominidae
Description: WDR11 divergent transcript
Source: RNAcentral
UUUGAGACGGAGUCUCAUUCUGUCACCCAGGCUGGAGUGCAGUAGUGCGAUCUCAGCUCACUGCAGCCAGCCUCCGUCUCCUGGGUUCCAGCAAUUCUCCUGCCUCAGCCUCCUGGGUAGCUGGGAUUACAGCACACUUACCCAUUGAUCCUCCUAUCAUCAAUAAGAAUCCGUUGAGAACAUCUUCCAGUACAGAGAGGAACCAACAUCUGGUUAAUUCAAACACAACCCCUGGGAUCAG